ACAGACCAUGGUAAUCAACACACACAGUCGGAAUGAAAGGUGAAGCUUUGACUGGAUUCAACCCUCCAUCUACUGUGCUCGGCCUUUCUGUCGCUUUGUGUCUGACUGACUAACGCUCCACUGGAUAAAGAUUUAAUUGGCUCUAAACAGACAGCCAGAACUAUAAACAACCAGAAUAAACACAAAUACAGACAUGCUGGAAAGAGAGUUGGAGAGAAGAUGAGCUAAGGACAGUAACCCUGUGGACAUAAAAACUGCACAUAUUUUAUUUUCAUGUUUUUCUUUCAAAUCCGUUUGGGAUAUUUCAUUUGGCGAUUUUAUCUUGUUUACAUUGUUUUUAUGUGAUGGAUCUUUUGAGAAGCGGAUUUUUUUUGCAGCAGUGCCAUACUUUGAUCAUAAGAAUGUCCUGACAUGUCAAUGUCAUUUCAAUGGAAGGAAUAUGCUUCAGUUUUUUAUCAUAAAUGAAAAAGCAAAAAAUUGGAAAUUGAAAUUUCUUCAUUUUCUUUAUUUUGGCCCUCUCAAAGCCAACAGCCAUGCAUCCUGCACAUUCAGAUUUUUUUUUUGCAAGUAACAUUUUUCAGUAUUAGUAAAAUUAACAAUUUCACAAUUCACUCUUCAAACUACAAACGUGCCUCCCACCAACCCCUCCCACCAUCAGCCAUCCGACCAAUCAUGGGCAAGCCUCUUAGCCGUCCUGGGUGUUUCAGGAAGAGCUCCUGCUGCCUUGAGAAACAUGGAGCUGGGGAUGGGGGAGUGGGAGGGCGAGCCGCAACAGUUGAAGGGGGAUACGGAGACGGCUACAUACCCCAACGAUCCAUCUACGAUACCAUGUGUAUCAAUCAACAGAUUGACAGCCAUCACCAUCACUCUGGAGGGUCCGUAAGGCGAGAUGUUGGAAGUGAGGGGAGUUUUAGCUAUUCUGCAAGCGGUUCCCUGAGGGUUAACAGGUCUCCUGCUGACAUGUUCGAUCCGCAGCCCCGCUCUCUAACUCCAAACCCCUCGUUUGUUCGCCGACUGGAUGAAAGAGCCAUCUAUGAUUCAUUGAAGCUUGGGGGUCAGGAUGUUGAUGGUGGUGGCUGCCAUUCGCCAGGAUGUUUCACCCGAUCAGUUUCUCCCUCCAUGUCGUCAUUCUCAGUGCCGGGAGUGUCGUCCUCCUCAUCUAAAAAACAUCACCAUCACCCCCACCAUCACCAUGGAGACAGUACAAAGAGCAGAGAUGGCCGACAUUCCUGGAAAGUCUUGACGCCUCCAAAACACCUGGAGUGUCUGGAGCUUACUACAACUGAAAUGAUGGACAGAGGAGGGGGGUACCUAAACCCAGGGCACUACCCUCCCCCUGGGGGCCAGUCCUCCUCUCUUACCUCCCCCCUCAUUUCCCCCUUCUCCGGCUCACCUCUCUCCUCCGGUUACCAUACUCCGGUAUUUUUCUCCCCUGCCAAACCUCGCCCCAGUCAGUCCCAGAGUUUGCGAUGUUCCCCUCCCCAUGCCAUCCAGCCAAGGCAUUACUCCCAAACCCAGAGCCUCAGGCUGUCGCCACCCCUCGAGCUUAGACGAUCCCCCUACCGUGCCCCGCUGGUGCAACUGUCUGCUCAUGACCUUGAGCAGGACAUGAGGGAUCGUGGAGGAGGGUGGGGCCGGAGUGAACGAGAAAGGGAGUGGGAGAGGGAGAGAGAAAGGGAGAUGGAGCGAGGAUGGGCCCAGCGAGAGUGGGAAAGAGAGAGGGAGAGGGGGAGGCUGGAGAGAGAGAGGGCAAGAGAAAGGGAGAGGAGGGAAACAUCAACUUUUGGGACCUUCGGGUAUGGUCGACCAGUUCCCCUGCGUACAGACAGAGACUCUGUCUUUUUGGAGCCCGACCAAGUUUUAGACACAACACCCCUGUUGCUCCCUCAGCCCUCACCUUCACCCUCCCCCAGUGCUGCCCCCAGAAUGGGCACUGGCGCUGUGGGUAGGAAUCGAGCAGGGUCAAAGGUUGGCUCUGAAAAUGUAGGUGGAGGUAUGGGUUCAAAGUUUGACAAUGGGAGUGUAGGUUUAGUGUUAGUUGACAGCAAAUCUGGAUGUGGGCCGAGGUUAGUAAGUGAAGUUGGAGUUGGAAACAUGUCAGAGGCUGAAAUCAGGGCUGCAAUACAAGAACACCAUAGAGCUGAAAGUUGGAACAAAUAUGACAAUGGAUCCAGGGCUAGCAUAAAAAAUGGGUCUGAAACAAGAAUGGGCUCCCAGGUGACAACACGACCAGGGGGACGGGAUUUGGAAGGAAAUGUGCAGUCUGGGGUGGGGAUAGAAAAUAUAGCUCCAACUGUGAACAAGGAGGGAUACAGGGGAGGGACAAGGAGUGGAGAAACAACUGUAAGGGGUGUGGCUAAACAUGAACCUAUUGCUGAGGCUAUAUCUUUAUCUGUGAUUGACAUUAAGAACAGGAUUGAGCCUGGAGAUAAAGUUGAUCUUCGACCUGGACAUGGUAUGGGGAUGACACCAGAGAUUGAGGCAAGGGUUGAGGCUAAAGCUAGUUUAAGUCAGGUGGAGAACAGGACUGGAACAGAAGCUGGAGGUGUAACUAAAGUUAACAAUGAGGUUGGUUCGCCAGCAGAGUUCAAAGUAGAAGGUAAAGUUGAAACAGAAGUUAAGAUUUCUCCUACAUCUAAGCCUGAGGUAGUACCAGAGACUGGGGUUAGUAAUGAGACAGGGACUAAAAGUAACACUGAUACUGGGGUUGUCAGUAAAACCCAAAGCAGCAACAAGACUACAGAUAAAGCUCAGAUAAGUGUUGUGGCUAGGGAUAAAACUGAUAUUGCCCCUGCAGAUCAGGCUGAGAAAAAGCCUUUGGACAUUAAUAAAAUUGAAUCUAGCCAUGUAGAGAAAGGUUCCAGGUCCCACAAGUCCAAAUCAUCCAAGUCCAGCUCUAGGACUCGACCUGGCACGGCCACAGGGCUCCGUCCAGGCCUUGUCAGCCCUCGCCUAAGCAGAGGAUUUGAAGACCUUGAGUCAACAGGCCCUACUGAGGGCAUCGAGUCCACCUGGCCUCGCCGAAUCAUUGUCAGAAAGAGGACUGUUCGGCAGGGUGGGGCACUCCACAACCUCCCUAUUCUCCCCCCACUCCCGGCUGUCCUGUCAGCAUUGGAGAAGAGGCGCCCGCAUAUUCACCUCCACCCAUGUCCAGGCCACUUUUCAGAGAAUCCGCUAACAACCAUUAUGAAUGCCACAAGUAUUGUUGGACGAUGUUCCCUUAAAGAGCCCUCCCAUCCAGAACCAGGACAGGGGGGCAGUUUGGUGGGUAGAGCUUCCUUGAAGGAGCAGAACUUGGAGCACUGGAGGGUCUGCAAAGAGCAGGAAGAACCCAAGAGAUCCAAGAGCAAGGAGAAACAAGGAGAGCUGAGUAAGGAAAAGACUGAGAUAGAGGAGAGGAAGGGGAAAGAAGAGAAGCGAGACAAGGAGAGGAGAGAAGAGAAAGACAAAAAGGAGGAGAAAGAGAGGACUAUUGUCAGUGAGGGGCUGUCGGAUAAAACCAGGAAACGAGAGAAGUCAGAGAGAAGGGUUGAAGGGAAAGUGCAAGAAGAUGGAAACAUAAAGGAACAUGUGAAAAAGGAAAGGGAUGUAGAAUUAAUUUGUGAAAUGGUGCAGGAAAGAGGAAUGAAGAUUAAGGAUGGAAUACAAGAGCGAAGCGACGAGUUGAAGCAGUUUGUGGCUAAAUCAAAGAAAGAAGAAAUUGAUGUGGCAGGCAGAGAAGGAGAAGGAGGUACAUUUGGAGAUGAAGGGGGAAUAGAGAGUUGGGACACUGUCCUUGACAUGGUCAACACAUUGUGGGAGGAUGGCUGGGAGAAAGGGGGAGCGGGUGGAGGUGGUGAUACAGAUUCCUUUUCUGGCUCCCUUCAGCGGUGGCCUCUUCUUCGGCCCCCAAUUGGCUUUGGGGGCUCCCACCCCCCCUCCUCUGCAGCCUCGGAGCUCAGCCUCACAGAGUUGGAAAGGAGAGCCAGGGAGUUGGACUCUGACCUGGAACACCUAGACCUGUCCCAACCACAAAGGCACACGCAGGAUUUAUACCAAACAUUGCUGGAGCCACAGAGAGAACGAGCUGACAUGUACCAAACACACCCUGGGCCGCAGAGAGAGAAAGCUGCUCUCUUGACAGGAGUGGGGAGCAGAUCCCAGGUCAGUUUGGAGCUCAGUGCUAUGGCCUCACCAGCUCCAGACACAGACAGACCUUCUGUUGACUGGUCGACCAAAUCUGCUGGGACUUCCACUGUUGGUACAAGCUCCAUUAAGGAGGACAGCUCUCCAGACUCCAACCUUACGCUGGAGUCCGACUCCAGUGGCGUCUUCCUCUCCUUAUCCAAUCAAAGCCAGGAGGAGGCCGGCUCUGACAGCGACCAGCCAAUCAGUGGCUCUGACCUAGGCAGCAGCAGCACGUCACUGGAGAAAGACGGGGAGGAAGGAGGGUCAAAGGAAUGGGGGAGGGAGGAGAGUGCAGAGCUACUGUGGUGCUACCCUACACUUUUCAAUAACUCCUUGCAAGAAGACAUAGAAGGAGAUAGUGGAAAAGAAGAAGCAGGGCAUGGAAAGAUUGGGAGAUAUGAAGAGAGAGGGAAAGAUGAGAAUGUAAGAAGGGUUGGUAAGAUAGGCACGGUUUCAAUCAUUAAAAACCCACUCAACUAUACAGACAUUGAGGAGUCCACGGCUUUAACUGCCCCACAAAGUGAAGCUAUACCACCCAGGAAAAAAGUGACCCUCAUGGGAAGUGACUUCCCUCUUCCUCUGUCUCCCUCAAAACAACCAUUCAAACACCUUCUAGAUCCAAAUCAGAAGCAAUUAAGAAGCUCAGGACUGGACUGUGGUGACUUAGAUCCCUUUGUUCAGUCGGACAGCUUUGUUUACCUUGCUGUGUCUGCAAGACCUGCAUCCCAGGGUGACGUCACUACAAUGACAGAAGUUCCCACCCAUGGUAUAAAACACGUCAGUGUACAGCAACAUUCGGACAUGAAAACACACUUUGAUCAGUCAAAUACAGAAUGGAAGCCAACUCAUCUUAUCCCACAAAAACCAGAGGAAGGAGACUUUCUGUGUACUGACAGCUUUGUCUACCUGGCUGCUCCAGCCUGUCACCUACUGGGCCCUGCAGGAACCGCACCGUACAGCGGCAGGGAGUCAGACUCAGAGAGUUCAGGAUCUGGCCCUGUUGAUAUUUCAGUACUGGGUUGUGGCUCGGUGGCAGGAGACAGUGACUGGGAUUCAGACCUGUCCGACUCCGAUCCCAGUCACUCCUCCAAAAUCUCUUCUGCUGGUAACAAAUCUGGUGGUGUAGCACGGUCCAAGCGGCUGCCAGCUGAACCGCGCUGGGACUUGUUUAGCGAUACCACCGAACAUGAAGUGCUGAGUGAGCUCUUCGCGGAACAGGACAAAAACAACACUGGCAUAGCAAGGAAAGUUACCGGGGUAACCACCAGCCUGGCAGAUGCAUCAGCUAUUCCCAUGGCAACUCAGCAUGUCACUACACCAGUGAAACGGGCAGCAACAGUAGAGCAGUCGUCAACAACAAAGGUGACUUGGCAGUUUAGACCAGCCCAGAGGUCAGUCUGCACAGGAAGCAGAAAGGAGAAAGAGAAGGAAGUGACAUCAUCACCAUUGGUAAGGUUCACAGAACUGAGAGGGGGCGACACCCACAGACCCUCCCCUUCAUCGUCUUCAUCAUCGUCACCCUCUUCAUCGUCUUCUGGUUGAUUUGUAAAGGAAAUUAAUUUUGUGCAACCAUUUGGGAGGGUGUGUGUUGCCAAAAGGUAGACAAUAUCUUCUAUUUGAUCUGUAGAGACUGAUAGGCUGAAGGAACUACAGAUUAUUUGCUUGAAUUUUGCAUCUAGCUGCUGCCAUUGCCUUCUGAUGACCUACUAAAGGCUGCAUAAAAGACUAGUUAAUUGUUGCAUUUACACAAUAUCAGUAUAAUCCAUUUAAGUUUAAAAUGAUGUGAGACUCAGGCUGAACAGAAACCUUCAGGUUGGGAGUAUGUGGAAAUAUGGUCACUGAUAGAACACUAAUGGGUAAUCAACAGUCACAUUUUGAAAAACAGGGUUGAUUUAGUAGUUACAUGUUUACAUUACUCUCUAUCUAAAUAAGAAGCAAGAAUAGUUCUAUGGGUUUUUUAUGCUAUUGAAUGUACUGUACAGGAUAAACACAACUACAAUGAAAAUCCACCAUAAUACAUAUUUCACAUAUGAGGCAUUCUCAAUGAUUUGGCUUGGUUACCUGUAUUUAAACUUUAUUUCAAUGUUUGAAUUCAGUUACAAUAACACAUACAAAUGGUUACAGAUGGAGAAAAAAAUGUCUGUCAAACUCCACCGUUGUGUUAACCUUUUACAAAGAUCAAACAAUGUAAAUGUGUCUCAGGCCUUAUAUCAAAUUACACCUCCUUGCCCAUGUAAUGCCUCACUUUAACACCUGCUCAUACUACUUCAUAUAUAUAUACUGUAUACUUUAAAAACUGAAAGAGGUCCAACUAUACAGUGUACAAUGUAUUUUAUAAUCACAUCCAGCUUUACAGUGUAUUUAACAGUGUGUCAAUAAUAUAUUUUGAAAGACAAUUAUAGAGUGAAAUAUAGAAUAUAAAAUAUCUAUACAGUAUAUGAUGAAUGUGCAACAUGAAAAAAUAAUGGAAGGAUUUAGUAAUAACAUUUAAUUUAAAUGUUUUAUUUAUCAAUUAGAUUUGAAAUUGUGAAUGUAAUAAUUGAGCAAUAUGCUUAUAGAUUGAUGCUAUACUAUAUGUUUCGUAUGUGGAAAGUGUUGCCUGAGUGAUGUGCAUAAUAAUGGCUGAGUUUCAUUUUAUUUAUAGGCCUACCGCCAAAUACUAAUUGUAAAUGCAGUCUUUUAGAGGUUCCAAGUGUAACUUUUUUAAACAUCAACUUAUCAUCAGGUAUCUUGGUAUACUUGCCAUAAACAAUGAGACCAUGGUUGAGAUGAUUGACAGCCUUUGUCUCACACCAGUUGUAUUUUUAGUGCUAGUGACUUCAUCUUCCAUAAUGCUCUUUGCUUCCUGUCUCUCCUCACCUCUUUGGCUUUAGUGAAGAGGAUAAACAUGUUGGAGAUGAUAUUUUUUACCAUUUGCCUUUCAUUCACAUCCACCAUUCGUCACAGUGAAAACAUUUGAAAGUGUUAGCUCUGUUUUCGCUGAAAGUGAAGCAAUCCAGAAGAUUAUCCUUCAAAUCCAUGUUGGUGGCACACAAUGUAAAAUGCAGUGUGGAGACUGGUAGAGCUGCCAAUCAUCCCAGCGGUGGUUAAGUUGUUAAGUAAGUAUACUAAUGUCACUGUGGUAAUCAUUUACUGAUGUUAAAGGGUAACUUGUGUAUUUUUAAACCUGGACCCUAUUUUCCAAUGUUUUUGUGUCCAAGUUACUAAUGGGGACAGCAAUUUUUUAAAUAAGUCCAGUAUAGAGUGAGAGCGCUGCAAUGUAAUCGUUUGUGGUAAUUGUGCACAAUAAUACAAAGUUUUUCUUUACCGUUUUCUGGAUAUGGUCUGUUUGUUAUUAUGUCUAACCAGGUCUCGCUCAACGAGGAGUCUUGUUCUAAAAUCUCACGAAAGGCGACUUGUUGCCUGAAGACAAUGGUUCCCUGAAGAGUUUGUUCUGUCGGAGUACAGAGGGCAUAGCUUAGUGUUAUCUAAAAUAAUUUCAAUGUCAUGGUUGAAUAUUUAGCUGAUUUUGACUAUGUGUAUGAGGCCUAACCCUUUUGCGAGAUUCAAAACGAGACUUCUUCAACAGUCUUGAUCCAGCAAAAGCUAAAGAAAAGCGUUUCUCUGUAGGGUCCUUUCGAUAAUGUUGUCAGUUACUUAUGAUAAAAACAUGAGCCUGUCAGUGGCAAAAACAAGCACUUCUGUUGUGAACAUACAUUAAAGCUGGGCAAUUACCCAGGAUUACAUUGCAGCCCAUUGUGCGGCUGCCAGCUGCAGUGCUCAUGUUAAGCUAAGUGUUGAUACUGGACACUUUACUUUACUUACUUAUCUUAGACCUGAUUAAAUUAACUUGAAAAAUACAGAACUUCCCAGAGCACAGUGCUAUCAGAUAUGUUAUCCUAUUAUAAAUGUGACAAAGGGAAAGUGGCAGGUUGACAAAUUAUUGUCAGUUAAACAAUAAUAAUUCUUCUUGCAAUGUGAUGUGGUUAUGAAAGACUAUGUGGUAAGUUAUGACCUGGUACAAAUUGCUUCUUAAGCAGGUGUAGUCAUGCUAUUUUAAAUAUGCUCUUAAAUUUCAAAUUGGUCAGUGAGAGGUAACUGUUUGGAUUAUGACAAAUUCCGAGUCAAGUAAAUGUGUCUUAGUGUGUGUUUAUUGUUGAGUGAAAGUGAUGGCACUAUAAUUUGUGUGAAUCUAUUGUGGGGAUGCUACAGCCAUAUUUCUUGAUUGCGAAUGAUGGGGUAAAAUGGGUGGGGUAUUCUUUUUCAGUUUUUUACGCAAAAUGAGAACUGUUGCCUUGUGCAGCUUUAACUGCCAUUAUGAACAUUGAAAUGCUCCCCCAGUCCUUAUUCUUAAUGAUGAUACUCUGUGUAAACCAUUUGGUAGAGCCGUAAAUGCAUCCAUCUGGUUUAGUGAUAGAUUUAUUAAUAUUUAUUAUUUAAUAUCAUCUGCUGAUUUCGAGCACAGAUUUACAAGCACAUCCAUGGAUGAAUAAUGUGCUUCAUUAGCAUGCAUCCGUAUUUUUAAAGCUAGGAAGUGAAUGUUAACCAGUACUGAGCUAAUGACUGACGAAGGUUUAAAAUGACCACAGUCUCUGACUACUUGUAACAUGUCAAAAUGCAUUAAAUAUACAUUAUUAGAUAUUGUUAUAACACCCAAUAGCACCCCAAAUUCCUGUUGAAAGUCAGCAGUUUCAAAAUCUAAAAAGUGAGCUGUGAGGACAUUUUGGCAUGUCCGGAUGUCUGUUAGAGGGUCCCCGGGGCACACAUUUGCCCCUAUUAAGCUCCCAUUACAGGAGAAACCAAACAGUAACCCUGUGCUUUUUAUUAUUUCCAGUUUGUUUCAUGUAUAUCAGUUUGGUGUAAUUUAAUUAAACACAUUUAUGCAGGAAGAUGUACCAAUACCAGAUGUACACAAUAGGAUGUUGUUAGCCUUCGCCAAAUCCAUUACAACUUGUAAGUCACUUGAGACUGAAUCAUUACUCACUGAAAAAGUAAUUGCAAUACCUUUCUAGUUACUGAGCACCAAAAGUUAAAUGUUACAUUACUCAUCAAUGAAGUUAACGUCCACCAACAAGCAGAAAUUGACACACCAUCCCAGACACUCCAAAACCGAUGCUAGAGGGUACCUAGAGCUUCAUAGUGUGAAGCGUAGGGCCUUUUAUGCUUUUAUUGGCGAGUUGGUUGUGAGGAUCUAUUCGUCCCUCAGACCCACAGACUAUCAUCUUCACCAAAGCUAAUGUCGCUAGUUUUAAAAGGCCUCUCUCCUCCACCUACAUUGCCAUUAGUUGAUCACAUACAGUGAACCUGAGUGCAAUAUUAAAAUCAAGGAGUGUAUCUUGUAGAAACAUGACAGAAUUAGCUCUUAUUUGAAAGUAGUAAGUCUCUGUCUCACGUGUCAUGAUAAACAUGAUUUUCACUGAUGAAAUCUCAUAUCUCCUACUUUUUAUUCUAUAUGAAAGAUUGCAUUGGAACAUGGUUUUGUAGAGCCAGUUUCUUCCCUGCAGCUCAACAUUGGGGCUCCAGGCAGUUUCUUGAUGGUUCUCUGCCAGCUCUGGCAUCUUGAUCAGCUGUGCUGUUUAUCUGAAGCUGACUGCUUCUUGUUGUAGAAAUGGUGAAGCACAUUUAUUAAACUACUGAGAUCUCAUUCUAAAAAAGCCGUUUACAUUAAAUGUAACCUGUAUAACCUGUCUCUAUUACGCUGGCACUACGCUGUGUAGCACUUGGAAACCUGGUUUCUAUUGGAAUUUUCUAACCCUACUGCUUUAUAUGUCUGAUGGAAGGAAUGUUUGUCUUUAGCUCACAAACUGGACCAAAAGAGAGAAUGAGCCAGUUAUGUACAAUUUCUUAUCAAUAAAAUAAUAUUUGAUUUCCGCUUGUAUUAAACUGUGGCAAAGCAUCUAGUUUCACUGUGAUAUAUUAAGGAUAAUUACUUUACUGACUUGUAAAAGUCAGUAAUAUCAGGCCAUACGUGUAAUACUUUGCUGUUCAUGUAAGCGCUGAUCACUGUUAAACUUUAGUGGUGAUUAAGAACUAAGACCUGAGAGGACUUUUUAGUAUAUAAAGAUAAUUUAUGUGAAAUCUUAUUGUUUGCCAUAUUCCCAAGCCUUGUUGAAAUGCAUUAAUGUACAAAUAAAGACUAAACUUGAUGUUGAAUGUGACUCACUUUGGCCUGUUUGGUGUCUGUCUCAGCUAUCUUAAUUCUGUUCUACACAUGCUUGGAUGUUACUACA
Molecule: long non-coding RNA, 10376 nt
Filed under: Cottoperca gobio
Lineage: Eukaryota; Metazoa; Chordata; Actinopteri; Perciformes; Bovichtidae
Description: lncRNA (ENSCGOG00000016155.1)
Source: RNAcentral